Molecule: non-coding RNA, 525 nt
Organism: Candidatus Nomurabacteria bacterium
Lineage: Bacteria; Candidatus Nomuraibacteriota
Source: Rfam
UAACAGGAAAUUUAAGGGCGUACGGUGGAUGCCUUGACUUUAAGAGGCGAUGAAGGACGUGGCGUUGCUGCGAUAAGCUUCGGGGAGGUGCUUAGCAACCUUUGAUCCGGAGAUUUCCGAAUGGGGAAACCCUAUUGAGUAAAACUCAAUAAUUUUUAACACAAGUUAAAAAAGCAUACCCUGGGAAGUGAAACAUCUCAGUACCAGGAGGAAUAGAGACAAAUAUGUAUUUCCUAAGUAGCGGCGAGCGAAAAGGAAGAAGCCCAAACCCAGCCCCACUUUUACGAUGCGAUUUUAUUUCUAAUUGAUAAAUUAUGAGAAAAUAACUAUUGAAAAGAAAAAAUUGUCUGCAAGACAAUUUUUUUUAGAAUUCGUUUUGUAAAAGUGGGGCUGGGGGUUGUAAGAUGACAAUGUAGUUUACUAGAAGAGUCAAAAAAUAAAUUAUUAGUUGAAGUUGCUGGAAAGCAACACCAGAGAAGGUGAUAGUCCCGUAAACGAAAAUAAUUUAUCUCUUUUAUUGUUAUU